Molecule: long non-coding RNA, 209 nt
Organism: Poecilia latipinna (sailfin molly)
Lineage: Eukaryota; Metazoa; Chordata; Actinopteri; Cyprinodontiformes; Poeciliidae
Exons: 2
Source: RefSeq, a predicted model, not a curated record
CACACACACACACACACACACACACACACACACACACACACACACACGAGAAUAACUGAAUGCAGAACUUUAUAGCUCAUCUUUGUGUGUUCCCAUGGGAACGACCCAAGAAUUAAAUACAGCAAAGGUCUGAAGGGUUUAUUGUACGUAAAACACACCUUCAUUGGUUUUUGCUCUGAUUUUCUAUCAUCUUGAUUUAAAAAAAAAAA